CAGUCGCCGCGGUAAUACAGAGGGUGCGAGCGUUAAUCGGAUUUACUGGGCGUAAAGCGUGCGUAGGCGGCUUCUUAAGUCGGAUGUGAAAUCCCUGAGCUUAACUUAGGAAUUGCAUUCGAUACUGGGAAGCUAGAGUAUGGGAGAGGAUGGUAGAAUUCCAGGUGUAGCGGUGAAAUGCGUAGAGAUCUGGAGGAAUACCGAUGGCGAAGGCAGCCAUCUGGCCUAAUACUGACGCUGAGGUACGAAAGCAUGGGAAGCAAACAGGAUUAGAUACCCGGGUAGUCCCUGUCUCUUAUAC
RNAcentral lists this ribosomal RNA (301 nucleotides) under uncultured bacterium. RNAcentral's name for it is "partial 16S ribosomal RNA". It matches the Rfam family "Bacterial small subunit ribosomal RNA", at positions 509 to 807 of the family's 1533-position model. The record is from RNAcentral.